This 497-nucleotide ribosomal RNA is filed under the name uncultured bacterium. RNAcentral describes it as "partial 16S ribosomal RNA". It matches the Rfam family "Bacterial small subunit ribosomal RNA", at positions 28 to 507 of the family's 1533-position model. The record is from RNAcentral.
GGUGAACGCUGGCGGCGUGCCUAAUACAUGCAAGUCGAGCGAACGGACGAGAAGCUUGCUUCUCUGAUGUUAGCGGCGGACGGGUGAGUAACACGUGGAUAACCUACCUAUAAGACUGGGAUAACUUCGGGAAACCGGAGCUAAUACUGGAUAAUAUUUUGAACCGCAUGGUUCAAAAGUGAAAGACGGUCUUGCUGUCACUUAUAGAUGGAUCCGCGCUGCAUUAGCUAGUUGGUAAGGUAACGGCUUACCAAGGCAACGAUGCAUAGCCGACCUGAGAGGGUGAUCGGCCACGCUGGAACUGAGACACGGUCCAGACUCCUACGGGAGGCAGCAGUAGGGAAUCUUCCGCAAUGGGCGAAAGACUGACGGAGCAACGCCGCGUGAGUGAUGAAGGUCUUCGGAUCGUAAAACUCUGUUAUUAGGGAAGAACAUAUGUGUAAGUAACUGUGCACAUCUUGACGGUACCUAAUCAGAAAGCCACGGCUAACUACGUG